CACUGGCUCUGGCAGUCUUGGGGCUUGUCCCUUUACCUCUGCGUUCAGACUACAGUCUGCUGGAGGAGCUGGAUCAACUAAUCUAUUGGAGAAGCUCUCAGUGUGGACUUUAUAACCUGGCUGAAGUUUAUCUCUGCAAACAACAAAUCAGGAGAUCAAUGUUAAACUGCUGAAGAAGUUAAAUAAGACACAAGACAUCCAGAGGAAUCUUCAGUUAGCACAAUAGUUCUCUACAGUUUUCAACAUCUCACAGACAAAUGAAUCCAAGUCCAGAGAAGGAGAAAGCUUACCAAUGUUCAGACUGUGGGAAAAGUUUUGCUACAAAACAUGAUCUCAAAGUGCACCGUCGCAUUCACACAGGAGAGAAGCCGUAUCAGUGCUCGGACUGUGGGAUAAGUUUUAGUCAUCAGAGUAAUCUCAAUGCACACCAGCGCAUUCACACCGGAGAGAAACCGUAUCACUGCGCAGAGUGUGGAAGGAGUUUUAAUCGACAGAAUCAUCUCAUACGACACCAGCGCAUUCACACAGGGGAGAAACCGUACCAGUGUUCAGAGUGUGGGAAGAGUUUUAACCGAUUGAAUGUUCUCCAACUACACCAGUUCACUCACACAGGAGAGAAACCGUAUUACUGCUCAGAGUGUGGGAACAGUUUUUCUCAGCAUAGUGAAUUUAAAGUACACCAGCGCGUUCACACUGGAGAGAAGCCAUAUCGCUGUGCAGAGUGUGGGAACAGUUUUAGUCGACUGGGAACUCUCCGAAAUCACCAGCGUGUUCACACUGGAGAAAAACCGUAUCAGUGCUUAGAGUGUGAGAAAAGUUUUGCCCAACAGUUUCAUCUAAAACAACACCAGCGCAUUCACACAGGAGAGAAACCAUAUUAUUGCUUUGAGUGUGAGAAGAGCUUCAGAUAUUUAAUCACAUUAAGGACACACAAGUGCACUAAAAGCAGUUUAGAAUUGGGCAGUAACCCUCCCCCAACCAUCUCAGGUCCCAACACAGAUCCUGAAGUAGUGUGAAGAAGACAGUUGAACAAAUCCCUCAUCAACAGUAACACUCUUAUGAUUGAUUGUCUAACAAAUUUAGGUUUUAACAUGUAGUCUUGUUAGCUGUGUCUAAUUGACGCAAGGAUUAAGAGAUGGUCUUGGGUGGUUGCAGUGGUAUCGCAGUUAGUUGCUAUGGUGUGGAUAAGUGGACCCUAAAUGGGUGCGACAGUAUGACAAGGUAAUUGCUAGGGCUGCACAGUAUCGUUUGUGCACUGCCAUCCCAAGUGCAUUAGUCACAUCGCAAUGUAGGGCUCUAUGACAUUUGCAAUGCGGUGAACAUGGACACAAUCACAAAAUUGAGAAUUAAAAUAGAUUGUAGGUAUCAAGACAAAAAUCCACUAAAGAAACAACAAAAAUCAGCAUGGAAAUAAAAAAAUCCAGAGCGGAUUUCACUGAAUUUAAUGGGCAACAGCAAAGUCAAGCUACAACUUUUUAAAUCCAAAAGGCAAUUUAGCACCAUUUUCAUUUUUAUGACAUGUCUACCAAUGGUAGAUUAUAUUUGAUUACUCCAGUCUUUGAUCUAUGGACUGCAUUAUUAGUAUCAUAACAUGUUGGUUCACUGACAUCUAGAGAAAUGUGAUGAAGAAUUAUUUUUAAUAUUGCAAUUAUAUAUGGCAGAACAAUAAAACAUAAAGGUGCAUCUCAAAAAUUAGAAUAUAAUUGAAAAAUUACUUCAGUUAAGUCAUUUGAAAAAUGUGAAACUUAGAUGUUGUAUAGAUGUAUCACACAAAGAGUGAUCUAUUUUAACCAUUUAUUUCUUUUAUAAUUGAUGAUUAUGGCUUAUAGCCAAUGAAAACCCAAAAAUCUGUGUCUUAGAAAAGUAGAAUAUUAUGAAGCCCAAAUGGUACUUUUGGCAGUGUGCCAAGUCCUGCUGGAAAAUGAAAUCCGCAUCUCCAUUACAGUUGUCAGCAGAUGGAAGCAUGAAGUGCUGUUUUCUCAUGGGAAAACACUGGACUUUGAGAUGAUUGGGUGUUUUUGAAGUUGUAUUGAAGUGUACCAGAAAUGACAGAAACAAAUAUCAGAGGAAUAAUACAAACCUUAGAACAAUAUAAUUUUAUUUAUUUUUUUGAAUCAUGUAUUAGUCACUACUGAGAGUGACGUAACCAUGUUGACAGAUUCUGUCUAAUGCUGUUUUAUUUAGUCACCAGUCUAAAGUUCUAAUAUGCUUUAAAGACUAAUCAUAAAAUAAUGAAUAUAUGUUCCUAUAAUGUAGGGAAUGAGAGACAAAUGUAUUUGAUCUUUCUGAUUUACAUAAGCAUUUACAUAAAGGCAUCAUUGCUUUGUAAUAGUGUGUUCUGUAUUCGUUUAGGAGAGUUCUCACUUUCUAUGGGUUGUGAAGUUGUUAAAAUGGCAGUGUAUUUUACUUUAAUAUGUUUUGAUUUAUUUGUGUGUGAAUCUGUAAAUGUAAUGUUUUCAAAUAAAUGUAAUAUCUUCAA
Molecule: RNA transcript, 2479 nt
Organism: Astyanax mexicanus (Mexican tetra)
Lineage: Eukaryota; Metazoa; Chordata; Actinopteri; Characiformes; Acestrorhamphidae
Exons: 2
Source: RefSeq, a predicted model, not a curated record